UAGGCUCCAGCAGCCUUGCAAUCUCCCAUACGUCGCACUUUAAUUUCUAUGGAUGAUGUGUUAUUAUACUCUGGUUUGGGGAAAGGAAGCUGGCAGGUUUUAUGAGAGGCAGAGCAAGACUGAGGUAGGGAUUGUCCUGCGUCUUUCUACCAUUCCGUGCUGUGAGGCAAGGUAGGCAAACUGUGGUCCUGUUUUUAUAAAUGGUGUUUUAGUGGAAUGCAGCCACAUCCAUUGGCUCAUGGAUUGUCUAGGGAAGCUUCGCAAUGGAGUGACAAGUCCUGUAGCUGCAGCAAGGAACAUGUACCCCACAGAGACUAAAAUGCUUCCUUGCUGGCCCUUCAUGGAAAAAUACUGUCGAUCUCUGCUGUGAAUUAUUGCCAUAUUUCCCCAGAAUACACAGUGAGGAAUGAGCAUGGGUCCUACUUUUUAGUAACACAAAUUCUAGUUGAAAAGAUCAACAGCUCCAUAAGUCGCUCUGCAACUGGUGUGUUCUAGCUCAGCAGUUUGGGUUUUGAAAUAAGGGACCAUGAUUUUUCAAGUAAAUAACUUGAGCUGCAUAUGGCUUUGGCAAGAAUACCAUUUUCCCACCCUAGGAUUCCCCCUCCUUCCAUGAGAACUGAGGGCCCCUUGGGCCCCCGCAGUCCACUCUGAGACACAGCUGCUCAGCUGGAAGCAAACUGGCUGCCUUGCAGGCUGCAUGCUCCAUGGCCAAUGGCACUGUUCGCGUCUGUGAUGUCACUGCUGAGACACAGUUGCCCUGUGCAGAAUGUGAGGGGAGACAGUAUUCCAUGACCUGAGACAUCCUAUCCAGGCACCUCUCCUUGUCAGCUGAGAGCUGUUUUGAGUGAGCAUCGUCCCUUGUGCUGGUCGUCUGGAUUCUUGGGACUCCUGGAGGACAUGAGAGCAGGACUGGCCUCAGGCCUGGGCAUCGUCAGUGUGGGUGUCGUCUCCUCCCCACCCUGCACCUGUGAGGAGUGGCACGGCAUCAUUCUGGAUUCCUCUGUGACAAUGGAUUGCUUUGAAUACCUUGAUUUCCAUUUUUGAAGACUUUGACACAGAAGGUUAGCCCUGCUCUCUAGAAUCUCAAGUCAAUAAGCGGUUUCUGUGCAUUCUUCGAUCUAGUGUAACUCAAGGGCCUCCCAGCCAAUUCAUGAUAGCGUGCCUGUGGUCCAGCCAUUUGACGGGAGCAGUUUCCUGCUGCUCAGACACUGUGCCUGCUGGGAACGAAACGUGAUGCUGGAUGUGCUCUUGUUGCUCUCGCCUUUAGGUGCAGACACCACACUUGUGAGUUAACCUUGAAGAGAGCUGAGAUGGUACCAACUGAGAAGCUUCUUCUAUUUCCCUUCUUGUUUGGACUCAAAACUGGGAGAGCUCCCCCAAACCUCCAAUUCCUCCCCACACCUCAGAGCAGAGAUCCGUGGAUGAUGGCAUCGCUUUUCAAACACGCAGAGCUUACCACGAGCGCAGGGGAUACUGCUUCUGAGAGUGGGGAUAUUGCUUCUCACUGUCACGUAUAUCGCACAUGACUGUUUUUAGCCAUGAGUGACGAGCAGUACACACUGACUUCAAUUCUUCUUACACAUUUUUCUGUGGCUGUAGUGCUCUUAGCAAAAUAUUCCCUGGCAGACCAGGUCAUUGCAGGGAGUGGGGUAUGAUCCAGGACUGACUGGGGUGUGUCACCUGGCAGCAAACCCUGGAAGCCCUCCUGUGACCAGCACGGACACCAACAGGAAAUCAACAGACUGAGAAACAUUUACUCCAAUGAGGCUGGCAUCUUUGUUUUCCUUCUAGUCCUCAAGUCUCUGUUAAGAUUUUUAAAAAAGAUUUAUUUAUUCAAGAGGUAGAGUUACAGACAGAGGGAGAGACGAAGUGAAAGGUUGUCAUCCACUGGUUCACUCCCCAAAUGGCUGCAACAGCCAUAGCUAGGCUGAUCCAAAGCCAGGAGCCAGGAGCUUCUUCCACAUCUCCCAUGUGGGUGCAGGGGCCCAAGCACUUGGGCCAUCUUCCACUGCUUCCCAGGCCACAGCAGAGAGCUGGAUUGGAAGAGGAGCAGCUGAGACACGAGAUCGAGAUCACUGCAGGUGGCAGCUUUAGCUGCUGUGCCAGAGCGCUGGCCCUCAGUUGUAUAACAAUUCCCAUGAUGGAAUCCAUCAAUACAGAAGAAUAGCUGGGGUCCAAGCUCUUGGGCUAAAAGGCCAAGAGGAAUUUCCACAGUAAACCAGAGGCUGGAUGCUCUAUGUCAAUUUUUCUAGGAGUGCUGUGAGGACCAGUGUUAGGAUGGAAGUGAAUUCCUCACUCCUCAACACCAAUCCAAAUUUUGCACUCAUUUGUGGCUCUUUCCCUUCUCAGGGGAUCACUGCAGUAGGGGGUACCCUCUGGGCCCCGAGAGUACCUUCCUGGUGGAGGGCAGUGAGAGGCUGGAGGAGAGGGCUACUGCUCAGAGAGUUUGACAUGGCAGAGAGUGAGUUUCAAUCCCGAACUGAUUGAGUAAUCUUUACCCGUGGAAAGUCCAUUUUGGACUGGGAGGGGCCAUCAGCAUCUCUGCAUAGGAGGGCCAGAGAGAUUGUGCUGCUGGGGAGGAGUCGGGAAAUGGGAAACUCAACCUGCCUGGAGCUUGCAGUGUUGCCACUGAAGGGGCAAGGUGAGGACCUGCUGGACGUGCGUGUAAAUGCAGCUCCAAAGCCGAGGCGGCGGGGCAAGCGUCACUAGAGCUUCCUUCUUGGGAUACACAUUCCUACAAACCUUCGAGUGUGCCAUCCAGCCCACACCGGACAAGGACAUUGAGCAGAAGUGUUGUCUGCUACUCCCUGGUGGGAGCACUUAGGGGCUGCACCCCAGCUCUCCCUGCCCCCUUCGGCUAUGGUAAACCCUGAAGACUGGGAGAAUAUGGUGAUGUCAUAAGAUGAUGGCAGUUUCAUCACCCCAGGGUUGUAGGCGGAUCCAUGUUGGACACACAUCACAGCAGGAAACAAGACAUUGUUAUUUUAAGUCACUAGAAUUUAGGUUUUGUUGUUACUAUGGUUGGUAUAUUCUACUGGUAAAGGUGUUUAGUUACAGAAGACAGAACUCUGUCCUUGUACACCUAGUUUGAUGUUUGUGAAUUUUAAACCUGCUAUACAACUAUUUAACUUUGUUGAAGUCAACUGCACCUGCUCAGCAGGUGUGGCUGCUCAGGCCUGUUACUGUGGAAGAAGCACAUGUCUCAGAGUGGGCUGCAAACCUGCUGUUCCUCCCUGGGCUGCACACCACGUGAGAGCCCUGCAGGCUUUGGAGAGGGAAGUCACCCUUUACGAGAAAUCCCAGACACAAACAAGUGACUUCAUCUGGAGUGCAACCGAAGAAACACAAGACGCUUUCCAUGCUGAAGCGUGAAACAGGCCUCAGCCUGCUCUCGUGCCCUGGCAAGGUCACUAAGAGAAGAAUAAACCAGUGCACAGGUGGGGUAUGCAGUCGCCCACUGGGAGGCACAGAGGAUGCGGCGACGAAUCUCAGUUUUGUUUCCGUUUCCUGCCCUCGACCAAGAUUGCAGAAUCUGAUUCUGAGACCCGCGAGGGGCCGACGGGCAGAGAGACGGCCAUCCACACACCGAUGCACCUCAGCGUGGACCGUGGAAGCAACGAGAACAGGACCGAGGCAGCCAGGUACAGGGCAGAGGACAGGCGCGCUGGCUCUGCAGAAUCCGUUCAGAGCGCAGUCAGACCCCUGGAGCGCUUCCAGGGUCGUGCAGGUCGUGCAGGUCAGGGCCAGCUGGCGUAUCACAGGGACCAGGCCGGGCCGUGACAGGUCGCACAGCACCGGUCCCAUCUGAAAGAGGCCACUCGGAAUCAGCUGCACCCGGGGUGGUCACGGUCACGCGGUCCAGUGUGGUCGCUUUCCGAUUUUGCAGGAGUAGCUGGAGUCUAAUGCGUGUGCCCAGGAGCCACUGGGCAGGCGGGGCACAAGCGGACCUCAGACAAGCAGGCAGCUCACCCUGUGACCCUGCAACGCUGGUCCUCUCCGUUCAUAGGGUGAUGUCCUCGGAUGCCCUUGGGCGGGACGUCCUCUGAGGAACCGAUCAAGCUCAGGGCAGGAAGCUCCUACACUGCCUCGGGGAGGCGCGGUGUGGGCCGGGUUCCGCUCUGAGGAGGUGACACUGUGCUGUGCUCCUGGGCAGUGUGAAGGCGCGGGCCAUGGCGUCUCCUGGCCAAGCCGAGUGAGGCACUCUUCAGUCAUGCUUACGCGACGCUGUUCCGGGUCUGCUCACCAAGCUGGUCCUACCUUUCGGCAUGUAUUCUGGAUGUUUGGUAUCCGAACUUGAACUCACCGAGGACCCCUUUGUGGAGCCUUAUCCUGUCUUUGAUCCUCAAAGAGCUCGUCACCAGCUGAGACCCCGUCUCCUGGGCAGUGUUGAGCUGACGGCUGCAGCUCACGCUCACAUCUCUGCCCAGUGUGCUGUUAUUUCCUUCUGAACAAGGGCUCGGGAACACCCAGCCUCCGUGGUUACACCUGCAGGUGCCUGGACUUCCGUGGGCACCAUCGCCCGAGGAUCCCUGACUGUGUUCACCAGAUUCUGAGCCCGUUGUAGUGCAGCCUUGCCAUUCAGACGGUGGGGAGGCAGCAGUGGGGAUGAGACCACCGUGCGGCGGGGAGAUGGGGGCCCCGAGCAGAGCUGUCAGCCCCUCUGAGAGCUGCCCGGCCCAGGAGAGGGUUCCCGGGCUGGGGGGAGCCAGAGUGACGGGGAGAGGCGGAGGCGCGUGCAGGGUUGGCCGUGUGUGCUUUGCCUUUGACUGUGGACGCGCGUUCCCCAGCCUGCACCUUGCUGGCCACAGCAGGUGCCCUGUGACAAAGGGCAGCGCUCCGUGCCCAGAACCCCCCCUUUCCUCCUCUGGGACCCAGGUUCAAUGCCGACGUCACAGAGGUGAGCGGAGCCGCCCAGGCCGACGGCUUCAGGGCCUCUGCUCGCCUAAGAGCAGCUGAAUCCUUCUGAGCCCUGAGCGUCCCGCUGGGUUUGACGGAUCUGUUCAUCCAUGGCACGGAAGCCGAGGACGUGAACCAGAGGAGCUGCAGGUGGUGUGGGCACUCGGUGGCCCCCGAGCUCCCGGUGGUGCAGACGGAACCAGCUGUGCAUUCCGAUGGCAGACGGAACCAGCUGUGCAUUCUGAUGGCUCCCAGCGGGGGACGCGGCCUCACGGCCCUGUGCGCUUGCGCUGUGGGGACCUGGAGCUGCCCCUCGGCUGCUUCUGAAGCGUGACGCUGGGCGAGGGCCGCUCGUGCGAUGCUACGUCCUGCUCACAGGUUGUUGAAGUAGCCCGGCCUCCAUGUCUCAGCAACAAGGGCGCACAGUGGUGUUGCAGGGAGCCACGCGCCCUGACGCCCGUGCCUGCCGCCUUCUCGAGAGCUCAGUGAGAUGGAGCUGUGGCAGUCGCUCGGAGCUGGAAGCCGUGGUUCCCAGGCUCCUGUUCCGCGGUUGGCCCUGAGUGUGCAGAGAUGGGUUAAACACCCACCUUGUGUCACUUGUCAAGCUCGGUAAACGAGUGCCUGUAAGAGAAAUGUCGGUGAGUUUUUGGAUCGAUUGGCUUUAAGCGCAGGAAAUAUUCAAUGACACAGCAAUCGGUGCCGACCAAGCAUGUUGGUUUGUUUCUCCGUUACUGUAGUGGGAUACCUGGGGCUCGGAGCCGGGAUGGAGGGCGUGAUUUUGGUGGUCCCAGGCGAGGGCUCAGGGCUCCAGGUGGCAAGGGACGGGGGCAUGGGUGUGUCUCUCCUUGGCUUCUCCCCCUUUUGCUCAUGAAACCAGGAUUCGGCUGUGGGGCUCCACCCUGCUGACCACUUCCCAAAGGCCUGCCUCCUGCCCCGCCCUGAGAGGGGCCGGGCCCCGGUGUCCUCUGAGACCCAGAGCGAGUCCCCGGAUGGCUGUGAGGGGGGCAUUCGGGGUCAGUGUGCCCGUGCCAGAGGGGCUGCAGGAUCAGGUGGCAGAUGAGAAACAGGCCGAGAGGCGGAGGACAGAGACGGGAAGGAGCUUCGCACCCGCUUUUGCACAUGAGCCCACCCCCCGUCCUUUUGUACACAAGCC
Molecule: non-coding RNA, 6049 nt
Organism: Oryctolagus cuniculus (rabbit)
Lineage: Eukaryota; Metazoa; Chordata; Mammalia; Lagomorpha; Leporidae
Source: RefSeq, a predicted model, not a curated record